AAGAAGCCAAAUCAAAAAGCCAAUCUCCAAGCCUCCCAGCCGAACGUCACCCUAUCAGCUGGGAGAGAGAGCGCUGCACGGGAUGACAAGCCGCGCAUAUUUAUCCUCGCGCGCCGAGGGGGAAUUUUCAGAUCGCUUCCCGACCAGCAGCGGAAAGUCAAGCCUGCACCUCGCGUCCAGAGAACCCCCGAGGACCGAAUGCAGACGGAACCCCUAGCCCGCGGCCACCCACCCAAUCGUUGGAGCCUGGCGCCCGGCGCCUCCCGGCCAGCGGCAGUUCCAAGACGGCGGCGCGUCCUGACCUGGAUUCCGCGCAGUCCGGAGCUCCGGGCAGCAGAACUCAGUCUGUCAUUUUCUCAACCCAAAUCAAACAACAGCUUGUGAGAGACGCUUGGGUGAGCGCUGGAAAUUGAGGCUUAAAGAGGUUAAAUAACCAUUCCAAGGCCGCAUGCAGCAACACCGAGGACUGGAAUAAGGUGGAACCAACUGGAGUUUUGCUGAUAAACACAACAGUAUGUGCGACUUCCUGGAUCGCUAGGCCCGUUGAAGAACUGCUCUGGAACAAGGUUGAAUCCUGGGUGUACUCCUAACUGAGCCCUGGGAUCUCAGAUCCGUGAACACUUAUGGGCCUUGAAUUCAGCUAAAGUUAGGGCUGAGACACUGACCCUGCAAGAUUUCAGUAACUUCUAAAGUUGUGGGAUUUCAGGAUAUGUCAACUGUCUCCCGGUACAUAGUUGUAUAUUCUUCGUUG
RNAcentral lists this long non-coding RNA (751 nucleotides) under Equus asinus (donkey). RNAcentral's name for it is "lncRNA (ENSEASG00005027585.1)". Lineage: Eukaryota; Metazoa; Chordata; Mammalia; Perissodactyla; Equidae. The record is from RNAcentral.